UACGAAGGGGGGCUAGCGUUGCUCGGAAUCACUGGGCGUAAAGGCGCGUAGGCGGCCAUUCAAGUCAGAGGUGAAAGCCCAAGGCUCAACCUUGGAACUGCCUUUGAUACUGUUUGGCUUGAGACCGGUAGAGGUAAGUGGAACUGCGAGUGUAGAGGUGAAAUUCGUAGAUAUUCGCAAGAACACCAGUGGCGAAGGCGGCUUACUGGACCGGUUCUGACGCUGAGGCGCGAAAGCGUGGGGAGCAAACAGG
Molecule: ribosomal RNA, 253 nt
Filed under: uncultured bacterium
Lineage: Bacteria
Description: partial 16S ribosomal RNA
Rfam family: Bacterial small subunit ribosomal RNA
Source: RNAcentral